CGGGAACUGGAUUCCCUCCCCCCAGGGCACUGUGACAAAUGAAGCCCACUGGCCACGUGAUGGGUGUCACGUGGGGGCUGGAGAUGGAGCCAAAGACCCACAAACCAAUGAGAGGGCAGGCACUGGGGUCUCCGUGCGCCAUGCCCCCUCCCCAGGAUCCUCCAGGCGCAGCCUAGGAGUCUACUGACCUGCUGAGCCUGGGCCGCAGCUCUGCCAUGUGAGCCCAAAGACAGUGCAUUCCCAGGGGCAGCUGAAGACCACGCAUCCUCCGAGAUCACUGUCGUCCUCAACUGGCGCAUGCUGCUGCGGCCGACACCAAGUCAAGGACACUCAGAGGCUCUGCAGAGGCAGCACGCACAGAGCCUGGCCGCUCACCCGCCCUUAAAACCUGGUGCUGAGGACCAGGCCAGGACGGGGGGCGGGCUGACAUCCACACGGCUUACAGCAGGGGCCCCGUGAGGGAAAGACAGCACAGAGAGGCUCCAGGGUGUGCCUGCCACGUGUGCACACACCUGUCCGCCCGCACACCAGGAGGGGCCGGUGGUUUCCAAUCGCCCUGGAGAGAUCUCUUUCAUCCUCCGAGGAGCAGCUCUUUCCCGCAGUGGGCGCCCAGCGCACCCGCGCCAGUGCUGCUAGCCUCCCUCCUGCCCGGCCGACCCGAGCAGCACUGAAGGGUCCUCGCCAGCCUCUGCGGCCUCCUCACCUGCAAGGCCAGCUCCACAUGGGAGAGGAGCGGAACAAGGGCAGCAGUCACGCAGGCUUCCCAUCUCCAACUCCACGUGCUCCACUGUCGCAGGACCAGGUCAAGCCUGCGGGGCCCACCACCUGGGACAAGGGGCAGUGGCUUGGUGGCCGUGAGGGGGAGGGGCAUGGAGGCCUCUGCAGUCAGUCAACCAACCAGUGAGUCACCAUCGAUCAGCCAUGCUGACCACAACGUAGCCGCUGUUGGCUCAGAAAGGGGGUCCACACUGAGGACUUGGCCAUCCCCAGGGCAGGGUUUGGGGGUGUCGUCUGGGCCACAGCCCCCCAGGAAGAGAGGGCGGUUAACUCUUUGUCCUCGGCCCUGAGCCUCGGCCGGGCUCACAGAGCUCAACGUGCUCUGCGGACACUUCCUCCCCUCCAAGCCGCAGCCACCGUUGGAGGGUGUCGGCCCUGUUCCGGUGCGUCCUGAGAGGUCUCAACAUGCACACCUGCAGCGCUUUCAAGGCCGCACUGCCUCCUUUCUUCCUGAAAUUCUC
RNAcentral lists this long non-coding RNA (1238 nucleotides) under Equus caballus (horse). RNAcentral's name for it is "lncRNA (ENSECAG00000059116.1)". Lineage: Eukaryota; Metazoa; Chordata; Mammalia; Perissodactyla; Equidae. The record is from RNAcentral.